CAGGACCACAAGAGUACAAUAAAAGCAAUUUACACGGGUUCUGAAUUUCUGGAGUGUUUUUGCUGGUGUUGAAGUUGGCUCGAUGCUUAUUUGUUUCGUCGAUUUCAGUUAUUCAGGAUUCACUCCACGAACAUAAACAACGGGU
Humulus lupulus (European hop) is the source of this 145-nucleotide long non-coding RNA. RefSeq lists it as uncharacterized. The transcript is spliced from 2 exons. The record is from RefSeq and is a predicted model, not a curated record. Lineage: Eukaryota; Viridiplantae; Streptophyta; Magnoliopsida; Rosales; Cannabaceae.